This 254-nucleotide ribosomal RNA is filed under the name uncultured bacterium. RNAcentral describes it as "partial 16S ribosomal RNA". It matches the Rfam family "Bacterial small subunit ribosomal RNA", at positions 524 to 776 of the family's 1533-position model. The record is from RNAcentral.
GACGUAGGGCGCGAGCGUUGUCCGGAUUUAUUGGGCGUAAAGAGCUCGUAGGCGGUGUGUCGCGUCGGCCGUGAAAACCUGCAGCUUAAUUGUGGGCUUGCGGUCGAUACGGGCAUCACUGGAGUUCGGCAGGGGGAGACUGGAAUUCCUGGUGUAGCGGUGAAAUGCGCAGAUAUCAGGAGGAACACCGGUGGCGAAGGCGGGUCUCUGGGCCGAUACCGACGUGAGGAGCGAAAGCGUGGGGAGCGAACAGG